RNAcentral lists this long non-coding RNA (361 nucleotides) under Androctonus crassicauda. The record is from RNAcentral. Lineage: Eukaryota; Metazoa; Arthropoda; Arachnida; Scorpiones; Buthidae.
CACCAUAGAGAAAAUAGUGUUUCAGUGAAUGAAAUUGCUGAAAUGAUGGACAUCAGUAGGAGAACAGUUAUUAGGAUAUGCAAAUAUCCAGCAGAAAGAGGCACGUUGUCGCCACUUAAAUUAACAGGCAGACCCAGAGUUAUGGCGGAAGAUGACGUCCAACGUUUAGUAGAAGCCAGUCAGGCAAAUCCGUUUAAGACUGCCCCAACAUUGAAGGCGGAAUUGGAUGUGGUGUGUUCACUGACCACAGUUAAAAGGAGGUAAGCGUAACUCAUACCUCACCUAAAUUAUUUAGUGUAAACUAUACAGUUAUUGGCCAUUUGAUGAAUGAGCUGCUAAAAUAAGAAUAAAAGAAUAAAUA